CCUACGGGAGGCAGCAGUGAGGAAUAUUGGUCAAUGGGAGAGAUCCUGAACCAGCCAAGCCGCGUGAGGGAAGACGGCCCUAUGGGUUGUAAACCUCUUUUAUCGGAGAACAAAACCCGGGACGUGUCCCGGAAUGCGUGUAUCCGAUGAAAAAGCAUCGGCUAACUCCGUGCCAGCAGCCGCGGUAAUACGGAGGAUGCGAGCGUUAUCCGGAUUUAUUGGGUUUAAAGGGGGCGUAGGGGGUCUGUUAAGUCAGUGGGAAAAGUGCGGGGUCCAACCGCGUCGAGCAGUUGAAACUGGCAGACUUGAGUAGGGGAGAGGUACGCGGAAUGCGCGGUGUAGCGGUGAAAUGCAUAGAUAUCGCGAAGAACUCCGAUUGCGAAGGCAGCGUACUGGA
RNAcentral lists this ribosomal RNA (397 nucleotides) under uncultured bacterium. RNAcentral's name for it is "partial 16S ribosomal RNA". It matches the Rfam family "Bacterial small subunit ribosomal RNA", at positions 338 to 733 of the family's 1533-position model. The record is from RNAcentral.